GACAGAGGGGGCGAGCGUUGUCCGGAGUCGCUGGGCGUAAAGCGCGCGCAGGCGGUCGCCGAAGUGUCGGGUGAAAGCCCCCGGCUCAACCGGGGGAGGCCAUGGCAAACUCGGGGACUGGCGCGGCGGAGAGGCCCCUGGAAUUGCCGGCGUAGCGGUGAAAUGCGUAGAGAUUGCCAGGAAGACCAGGGGGGAAGCCACGGGGCUGGGCGCUCGCUGACUCUCAGGCGCGACAGCGUGGGGAGCGAACCGG
Molecule: ribosomal RNA, 253 nt
Filed under: uncultured bacterium
Lineage: Bacteria
Description: partial 16S ribosomal RNA
Rfam family: Bacterial small subunit ribosomal RNA
Source: RNAcentral